GACAGAGGGGGCAAGCGUUGCUCGGAAUUACUGGGCGUAAAGGGCGCGUAGGCGGGAUGGCAAGUCGGUCGUGGAAUCCCUCGGCUCAACCGAGGAACGUCGAUCGAUACUGCUGUUCUUGAGGAUUGCAGAGGAGACUGGAAUUCCCGGUGUAGCGGUGAAAUGUGUAGAGAUCGGGAGGAACACCGGUGGCGAAGGCGGGUCUCUGGACAGUUCCUGACACUGAGGCACGAAGGCCAGGGGAGCAAACGGG
This 253-nucleotide ribosomal RNA is filed under the name uncultured prokaryote. RNAcentral's name for it is "partial 16S ribosomal RNA". It matches the Rfam family "Bacterial small subunit ribosomal RNA", at positions 524 to 776 of the family's 1533-position model. The record is from RNAcentral.